This is a long non-coding RNA of Pan troglodytes (chimpanzee), 733 nucleotides long. RefSeq lists it as uncharacterized. The transcript has 4 exons. NCBI's taxonomy places the organism in Eukaryota, Metazoa, Chordata, Mammalia, Primates, Hominidae. The record is from RefSeq and is a predicted model, not a curated record.
UGAUAUGAAUCUCCUCUUUUGCCUUGGACCUGCUUGCAUGGGGAAUUGUGGCAGAUUACUGUGCCCAUCACCUAGUAGAUGUUACUGUCUAUUUUUUACCUGGAUCCUGCCUACAGAAAGGAUUGUGACAAAUCAGUGGGCCAAGCAUCCCGGUGACGUGGCUCUUCUGUCUUAGCAAUUCCUAUAGUUGGGAUAGUGACAUAAACCUGGGUCAAGCAUCUGGGGUAAUUUGUGACAUACUGCUGGACCCAGCACCCAGGUCAUUUGACUCUCCUGCCUUGGCCCUUCCCACAGAGAGCAUUGUGACAUUGAGUGGGCUCAGCAGCCAGGUGAUACGACUUUCCUGCCAGGACUCUUCCAACAGAAGGGACAUUGACCUACUCAGGCUCAGUAUUCAGGUGGGAUGGUCACACAUUAGGCCCUGCUCACAGGUAUAACGAAGACUCGCAUAUGUGAACCCAGCCAAUAGAAGAGAUUUUAACUCUUCUAGCUAGGCUUAGACAAACAGCCAAUAGAUGAAAAAAGAUUCAAGGAAGACACAUUUGCUUUUUAUUCACUCAUCACUUGCCAUCACUAUGCUGACCAGAGUCAAUGUGAGCAGAGUUGAGAAUAGCAGUUUUCUGGCAGGAGAGCCACUUCUCAGCGAAAAAUGACACACUCAAAGUAUAAAUCUUUCAUGGAAGGCUCACAUAUUUUCAGCAAAUUAAGCAUAUGCAUGAAUAAAAUUCUUGUG